This 808-nucleotide ribosomal RNA is filed under the name Pseudocercospora sp. LLS1. RNAcentral describes it as "eukaryotic LSU rRNA". It matches the Rfam family "Eukaryotic large subunit ribosomal RNA", at positions 43 to 882 of the family's 3401-position model. Lineage: Eukaryota; Fungi; Ascomycota; Dothideomycetes; Mycosphaerellales; Mycosphaerellaceae. The record is from RNAcentral.
UCAAUAAGCGGAGGAAAAGAAACCAACAGGGAUUGCCCUAGUAACGGCGAGUGAAGCGGCAACAGCUCAAAUUUGAAAUCUGGCGUAAGCCCGAGUUGUAAUUUGUAGAGGAUGCUUCUGGGUAGCGGCCGGUCUAAGUUCCUUGGAACAGGACGUCAUAGAGGGUGAGAAUCCCGUAUGUGACUGGCUUGCACCCUCCACGUAGCUCCUUCGACGAGUCGAGUUGUUUGGGAAUGCAGCUCUAAAUGGGAGGUAAAUUUCUUCUAAAGCUAAAUACCGGCCAGAGACCGAUAGCGCACAAGUAGAGUGAUCGAAAGAUGAAAAGCACUUUGGAAAGAGAGUUAAAAAGCACGUGAAAUUGUUGAAAGGGAAGCGCCCGCAACCAGACUUUGCGGCGGUGUUCGGCUGGUCUUCUGACCGGUUUACUCGCCGCCGUGAGGCCAUCAUCGUCUGGGACCGCUGGAUAAGACCUGAGGAAUGUAGCUCCCUUCGGGGUGUGUUAUAGCCUCUGGUGAUGCAGCGCGUCUCGGGCGAGGUCCGCGCUUCGGCAAGGAUGAUGGCGUAAUGGUUGUCGGCGGCCCGUCUUGAAACACGGACCAAGGAGUCUAACAUCUAUGCGAGUGUUCGGGUGUCAAACCCCUACGCGUAAUGAAAGUGAACGGAGGUGGGAACUUUUUGUGCACCAUCGACCGAUCCUGAUGUCCUCGGAUGGAUUUGAGUAAGAGCAUAGCUGUUGGGACCCGAAAGAUGGUGAACUAUGCCUGAANNGGGUGAAGCCAGAGGAAACUCUGGGUGGAGGCUCGCAGCG